RNAcentral lists this ribosomal RNA (1403 nucleotides) under metagenome. RNAcentral's name for it is "bacterial SSU rRNA". It matches the Rfam family "Bacterial small subunit ribosomal RNA". The record is from RNAcentral.
ACGAGUGGCGAGCGGGUGAGUAAAGUAUCGGAACGUACCUUUCAGUGGGGGAUAACGCAGCGAAAGUUACGCUAAUACCGCAUAUUCUGUGAGCAGGAAAGCAGGGGAUCGCAAGACCUUGCGCUGAUUGAGCGGCCGAUAUCAGAUUAGCUAGUUGGUGAGGUAAAGGCUCACCAAGGCGACGAUCUGUAGCGGGUCUGAGAGGAUGAUCCGCCACACUGGAACUGAGACACGGUCCAGACUCCUACGGGAGGCAGCAGUGGGGAAUUUUGGACAAUGGGGGCAACCCUGAUCCAGCCAUGCCGCGUGAGUGAAGAAGGCCUUCGGGUUGUAAAGCUCUUUCGGCCGGGAAGAAAUCGUAUGGGUUAAUACCCUGUGCGGAUGACGGUACCGGCAUAAGAAGCACCGGCUAACUACGUGCCAGCAGCCGCGGUAAUACGUAGGGUGCGAGCGUUAAUCGGAAUUACUGGGCGUAAAGCGUGCGCAGGCGGUUUUGUAAGACAGGCGUGAAAUCCCCGGGCUCAACCUGGGAACUGCGCUUGUGACUGCAAGGCUAGAGUAUGGCAGAGGGGGGUGGAAUUCCACGUGUAGCAGUGAAAUGCGUAGAGAUGUGGAGGAACACCAAUGGCGAAGGCAGCCCCCUGGGCCAAUACUGACGCUCAUGCACGAAAGCGUGGGUAGCAAACAGGAUUAGAUACCCUGGUAGUCCACGCCCUAAACGAUGUCAACUAGGUGUUGGGUGGGUAAAACCAUUUAGUACCGGAGCUAACGCGUGAAGUUGACCGCCUGGGGAGUACGGCCGCAAGGUUAAAACUCAAAGGAAUUGACGGGGACCCGCACAAGCGGUGGAUGAUGUGGAUUAAUUCGAUGCAACGCGAAAAACCUUACCUACCCUUGACAUGUCCAGGAGCCUGAAGAGAUUUGGGUGUGCCCGAAAGGGAACUGGAACACAGGUGCUGCAUGGCUGUCGUCAGCUCGUGUCGUGAGAUGUUGGGUUAAGUCCCGCAACGAGCGCAACCCUUGUCGUUAAUUGCCAUCAUUUAGUUGGGCACUUUAACGAGACUGCCGGUGACAAACCGGAGGAAGGUGGGGAUGAUGUCAAGUCCUCAUGGCCCUUAUGGGUAGGGCUUCACACGUCAUACAAUGGUCGGUACAAAGGGUUGCCAACCCGCGAGGGGGAGCCAAUCCCAGAAAGCUGAUCGUAGUCCGGAUCGCAGGCUGCAACUCGCCUGCGUGAAGUCGGAAUCGCUAGUAAUCGUGGAUCAGCAUGUCACGGUGAAUACGUUCCCGGGUCUUGUACACACCGCCCGUCACACCAUGGGAGCGGGUUCCGCCAGAAGUAGGUAGCCUAACCGCAAGGGGGGCGCUUACCACGGCGGGGUUCGUGACUGGGGUGAAGUCGG